AAAUUGAAGAGUUUGAUCAUGGCUCAGAUUGAACGCUGGCGGCAGGCCUAACACAUGCAAGUCGAACGGUAGCACAGAGAGCUUGCUCUCGGGUGACGAGUGGCGGACGGGUGAGUAAUGUCUGGGAAACUGCCUGAUGGAGGGGGAUAACUACUGGAAACGGUGGCUAAUACCGCAUAACGUCGCAAGACCAAAGAGGGGGACCUUCGGGCCUCUUGCCAUCAGAUGUGCCCAGAUGGGAUUAGCUUGUUGGUGAGGUAACGGCUCACCAAGGCGACGAUCCCUAGCUGGUCUGAGAGGAUGACCAGCCACACUGGAACUGAGACACGGUCCAGACUCCUACGGGAGGCAGCAGUGGGGAAUAUUGCACAAUGGGCGCAAGCCUGAUGCAGCC
Molecule: ribosomal RNA, 394 nt
Filed under: Salmonella enterica subsp. enterica serovar Infantis
Lineage: Bacteria; Pseudomonadati; Pseudomonadota; Gammaproteobacteria; Enterobacterales; Enterobacteriaceae
Also listed under: 1 other name
Description: bacterial SSU rRNA
Rfam family: Bacterial small subunit ribosomal RNA
Source: RNAcentral